GUAACUCUUCUGUGUGAUCAGACCAGACAACACCGGUUAUCAUUACUUGCACUACGUUUGGUAGGUACUGACAACUGCAUAAAAGGAACACCUCACAAGACUUGCCAUUUUGAAGAUGCUAUGACCGUCGUCUAGCCAUCACUAUUUGGCCCAUGUCAAAGUCACUCAGAUCUUUUUACUUGCCCAUUUUUCCUGCUGCCAACACACGAAAUUCAAAAAUUAACUGUUCA
This is a non-coding RNA of Pelobates cultripes (western spadefoot toad), 230 nucleotides long. The record is from the annotation of a GenBank genome assembly. NCBI's taxonomy places the organism in Eukaryota, Metazoa, Chordata, Amphibia, Anura, Pelobatidae.